UCGAACUCAGAAAUCCACCUGCUUCUGCCUCCCAAGUGCUGGGAUUAAAGGCGUGUGCCACCACCGCCCAGCCACAAAAUUUAUUUAUGUUUACUUAUUAACUAUGAGUUACAGAUAAAUUUCUUUUUAUUUCUACUAAGACAGGGUUUCUCUGUGUAGCCUUGGCUGUCCUGGAACUUGCUCUGUAGACCAGGUUAGCUUCCAACUCAGACAUACAUCUGCCUCUGUCUCCUGGGUACUGGGAUUAAAGGCUUGCACCACCUGGCUCCAGAUAAAUAUUUUUCAUUGUUGCUAAGUUAUGUUUUCCUUGUACCAGUCAACUUUUGCUUUAGAUACUUUGAAGUUUAUUAUUAAAUGCAUGGACCACAGAGGUGAGAGGACCAAAUCAGCCAGAGCUACAACAUAGUGAGAACUUGUCUCAACCCCUACAACCACCUUAACUCAGCAUAGGUUUCAACCUCCUUUUUAUCACUGAACAAGAGAGAAACAAGAGAGACAGAGAAAAGGAUUAUUAGCUGGAGACUUACAGGCAUUGCUUGGGUUUCAGAGGUGUGGAAGAAACAGUGAAAUUUGUUUUUUUUUUCCUUUUCAAAAAUAUGAAACACUUCAUGAAUUUGUGUAUCAUCCUUUCGCAAGGGCCAUGCUAAUCUUCUCUAUCGUUCCAAUUUUAGUAUAUGUGCUGCUGAAGUAAGCAUGUGAAAUUUGUUGAUCGGGAUGCUGUAAUCCAAGGUCAUGAUACACCUGUAGGCCUUGAAAAUAUCUUAGCUUAUGUUUGGCACCAUAAACAUAGGAGAGAAACAAGAGGUAAGGGAAAUUUGAGGUGCACUAAUUUUGCACUGCCAGUCUCCCGUACAUAUUCACUUAAUGACCAACAUAUCUACUAGAAAAGUUGAGCAGAAAACAUCUGGUCCAAAGAUUAAGUUGCAAACGACACAGACACACUAUGCAAGCAGAGAUGCAAGGUAGUAUU
Molecule: long non-coding RNA, 970 nt
Filed under: Mus musculus (house mouse)
Lineage: Eukaryota; Metazoa; Chordata; Mammalia; Rodentia; Muridae
Description: long non-coding RNA chrX:20799741-20800711
Source: RNAcentral